RNAcentral lists this ribosomal RNA (407 nucleotides) under uncultured bacterium. RNAcentral's name for it is "partial 16S ribosomal RNA". It matches the Rfam family "Bacterial small subunit ribosomal RNA", at positions 28 to 526 of the family's 1533-position model. The record is from RNAcentral.
GACGAACGCUGGCGGCGUGCCUAAUACAUGCAAGUCGAGCGGAGCGGCGGACGGGUGAGUAAUGCCUAGGAAUCUGCCUGGUAGUGGGGGAUAACGUCCGGCAACGGGCGCUAAUACCGCAUACUAUCAGAUGAGCCUAGGUCGGAUUAGCUAGUUGGGGGGGUAAAGGCCUACCAAGGCGAAGAUCCGUAACUGGUCUGAGAGGAUGAUCAGUACCACUGGAACGGAUACACGGUCCAGCCUCCUACGGGAAGCAGCAGUGGGGAAUAUUGGAGAAUGGGAGAAAGCCUGAUCCAGCCAUGCAGCGUGUGUGAAGAAGGUCUUCGGAUUGUAAAGCACUUUAAGUUGGUAGGCGUUACCAACAGAAUAAGCACCGGCUAACUUCGUGCCAGCCGCCGCGGUAAUUC